UAAUUGCAAUAUCUUCUUCAUCCUGUACCUUGGUUAUCAAUGUGGUUUCAUGGAGACCCUUUAAAUCUUUUUAUGCUAUUGUGUUAUGUAGUAAGGUCACUACAAGUCCUUUAGUUAGGGGUGUGGCCCUACCAUUGUGUGUAAUCAUUGGUUUGCAAUUCUUGAACUUAGUCACACGAAGCAUGGAAAUUAUGUGAAUUGAUUGUUUUCAG
This 212-nucleotide long non-coding RNA is filed under the name Capsicum annuum. Its description in RNAcentral is "long non-coding RNA (CANN_LNC008026)". Lineage: Eukaryota; Viridiplantae; Streptophyta; Magnoliopsida; Solanales; Solanaceae. The record is from RNAcentral.